AAGUGCUUUGGAUUACAAUCAUGUUUCUGGAAUGAAUUAUGCUUGCAAACCAAGGUUUUACUGUAAGUACUGAUAGGUAUGUACUUACUGCCAUUUUGUUACUUGGUUUAUGGUUGUUCUUGUAGUUCUUGUCUGUUCCUUUCCUCUCUUGCUAUCUUCUCUCAUGAUUUGCUGGCUUUAUUUAGUGAUAUACAUGGAUUCUUUUCUCUUUAUUUUUAACAUAUCUAUUUGCUUGCCAGUUUUUGAUUUGUGAUUACCAUUAGGUUUGUAUAUAAUAUCGUAUGCAUAUAGCAGUCUAGAUAAACCAAUUUUUAAUUGACAUUGUGUCAUGCUUGACUUAAGGACCAAAGGUAUAUUGCAAAGUAGAAUGAAAUUUUAUUAUGUUUGUUGGAGGAGGUCAUUGAGGAGACGUGAAGGCAGAUUGACCAUGAGUUGGGCAAUCAGAGGCUCCUCAUCCUUAUCCCUGUCCUUGGAAUUUAUAUUCCACUCACCUUUCCCUCACUAGGAGACAUUCCAAGGGCAAAUCCUUAAGAGAGUAAGGUUCUAUUGAGACCUACUGGAUGGUGUACAUUACUAAAACCAGUUAAGACCUUUAUACAAGCUUUUAAGAUUUUGGCAGGCACAUGUGGAGAUCUACUCUUCUUGCCUCCAGCCAGACAAGCUUCAUAUGUUAGUUUCCCUGGUUGUGAACCAGAGGUGUUUUAUAACAUCAAACACAGACUGAUUUCCUUCUCGAAUAUUUGUAAUUCAUUUUCAUUUAAAAGUCAAAUCACUUAUGUUAAUAUUUUGUAUUUUGAGAAAAUAAAAAAGUUCUAGUUUUUAUGAUAUUUAAAAUGCUGAAUUGAUUUUAAUCAUUAUGUUGACUCUUAAACAUUUGCUUAUUGUAGUAUUAGAAACAUUGAAGUUCUUUUUAAAGUCAACUUUCAAUAGAUGGAAGUAUCUCAAGGUUAUCUGGAAGAGAGGUUACAGAUUUAUUAUUAUAUUUUCCUCAAGUGUUAUUAUAUUUCAGUAAUGGAAUUUCUUAUGUGUCCUAUUUUUUAAUCAAUCAUGAUAAUGAACAGUAUUUUUUGAGAAUAAAUGCAGUUAAAAGUUUUUUUCAAAGCCUUUAAGUUUAUUUUACAAUUAGAAAGGCAAAAUGAUCAUAAGCAUACAUCCUAAUACAUUUUUAAAAAUCAGGCAAACUCCUGUAGCCAACAUCUGGAGCAAAACACAGAACAUGUUAGGAAUACACAAAUUGCCCUUGUGCUCCUCCUUUAGUUUUGCUAGUGUUAAACCAACUUUGCUUUUCUAGAGUAAAUGCAAUUUAGUUACGGUAUUUGUUGUCAUUUUGUAUAUACUGCUGGCUGUUUCCUUAACUCCUGCUUAAAAUUAUUGUAUCUUGUAUUCAUGAGUGAGAUUGGCUUUGAUAUUUCCUUUUCUCAUACUUUUUCUUUUUGUUCAAUUCCUGGGUUGUUUUCUGUCUUCAUAAACUAGUUAGGGAACAGAUUUCCUUCUUCUAACCUCCAGAACUGUUUGUAUAAGAAUAGGAUUACAUGUCCUCUCAUUUUAUUCUGAUUUGGUAGUGAAACAUCUAGUAUUCUUUCACUUCCCCCCAUUGUCUUGUAUUGAAUUUAAAAUACUUACAGAAGUAAUGUGUGUGCAAAUAUAAACAACCAAUUUUCAGGUGAGUGCAGUUGUCCUGCAAUGGGUAGGAAACAGUGUGGAUCAGAACCGCCUGAAGGGCUUGUUGAGUCACUUACUAAUGGGCCCACGUGUAGUCUUGAGACAAGGGCUAUGGGUUGAGGCUGAGCUUUUGCUCUCCUCUCAGGUGCUGCUGUUGGUGCAAGGACCACACUGUGAAAGCCACGGAACAAGCGAAGUUAGUAUAAAAAACUAUUUACAUUUCUCAGCUUCAACUGUUAUUAAUCCACUACCGUGUUGCUUUAUAUGUCUCUUCCCAUCCUCCUCACCAAAUUAUUUUGAAAGGAAUAUCAGAAACCGUACUUUAUUUCAAAAUAUAACAAUAUUUAUCUCUAAAAUGUAAGGACCCUAUUUUCUUCAUUUUUCUAUAUCAGUAUGUUGAAGUGCAAUUGUUUUGUGUGUGUUCAUGUUGUAUUCUGUCAAUUUGCUAAGCUCACUUAUUUUAGGAGGCAUUUUUUUUUCUUUUGCCAGUUACUUGGGAUGUUUUGUGUAGAUAAUAAUCGAUACCCACAAAAGGAGUUUUAUAUCUUCCUGUGCACUCAGUAUGCCUCUUCUGUCUUUUUUUUUUGCCUGUUCUUGUAGCUAGCAUUUCAGCUCUGUGGUCAAUGAGUGGUGAGGACACAUCUUGCCUUGUUUCCAAUCUUGGAAUGCUCUUCAUCUUUCACCAUUAAGUGAUAGAUUCAAGUUCCUGAUCCAUGUAAUUUUCCUUCUUGAAGAAUUUAUCGCCUUCUCUUCAAGGGAAAAUCAGCUGGUGAUGACUGCUCAGUUUCUUCAUGAAAGAGCCUAAUUUUGUUAAAAACAGAAGGCACUAAUGAGGCAUUAAAUAAUCAACAUUUUGCAAGAAUCAGUCAUUCCAAAGCAAGUGCACAUCUUUACUUUGUGAAUGAAGGAUUGUUCCCAUUAAGCCAGAAGGCCCCAAAUGCUUAAAAUGUGCUGGAGUAAAUUACCAAGAGUAGAUACAAUAUAGUUGUUUAAUUUGAAAUACAUUUACUUUUAUUAUAAAAUAAUAAUACUGACAUAUUCAACAAACUAUGUAAUAACCCCUAUUUUAAAUUUUCUUUAAAAUUAUGUCAAUUUAAAAUAUUUUAUACUUUUUCAUAAAAUUUUUUUAUCCUUUUACUACACUUGAUCUCUUCCUGAUAUGAGAUGAACUUUAACAAAUAGAAUAACUGAAUUCAAGAAUAAAGUAGUAGCUGUCUGUAAUCAAUUGGAACUAUGUUACAUAUCUAAGGAGCAAAUUUAUGCACUUGUAGUUUUUGACAUUAUUUUCAGAUUUAAUAAACUAUCUGAAGGUACAUUGACUAGAUUUGUAUUGUAUUUUUCUCUGUACACUUUAACUGAUUUAAUGGUUGUUAUUUAAAAACUUAGCAGUACCUCUUAUAUGCAUAGCAUAAUAUUCUAUACUUUGUAAGAAUUGCAAGAAAUAUUUAAAUCCCAAGAAGGGACAAUUUGACUUGUUCCUAAAUAUACUAGUAUUUAAAUAAUUUCAUAAAUAACAGUUCUGUUCUUUUAUUCUAUUUGGACAGAUAUUUACUGAACAGUUCUUGGAGAUAAUGGAUUCUAUGCCAAUGUUUCUCUUUGGGAAGAAUAUCUAAGUAAAGUCAGUGUAUUUAGUGUCCUUUUGCCUUGGACCCCCAAAUCCUAAAGAUUUAUAUGUAUUGUACCAUGAACCCUUAAAGAACAUACAAGGGCUCUUCUCCUGUAAAAUCCCUGAUGAAUUACAGAUACUGACAAUUUAUCAGCACAGUGUUAAAUUGGCUGUUGAAGUUUACUAGCUUAAUAUCAGCACUCUUAUUCUCUAUCAAUCUUGUUCUCUACUUCAGUUUUCCUAAUACAUCAUAGAUUCUCCAAAAGUAGGAGACUGUAGAAGAUACCUUGGGAAGUCUUUAGUCCUUUCAUCCACAGAGACUUAUAUCUGUCAAACCAUUUAAAUUUGUCAAAUGUUUCUAAGCACUCAAGAGAAAGAAAUUCCAACAGGUUAGUUCAAUAUUUAGUUUGUGAGGGUUAAACUUUUCAGAUUGCAGCUGAAACUCUUUUUUUUUAAUUAUUCUAGCAUGUGGCAAAGAGAAUACAUGAUUCAUUUUAUUCAUAUAUGGAGCUUAUAUCAAUAAGAAUUAAUUGACAAUUAGUUGAUAAUUGGUGACAAUAAGCAUUUUUCCAUUAUGUUAAUAUAUUUGACUUGAUUCACUUAAAUGAACAAAAAAACACGUAACCUGUAUUUUCAGUUUACUGUUGGGCCCCAAAUAUUUAGCUUUUGUGAACCUAAUUCACUCUGAGAAAAUGCCAUUUUAUGUAAUCUCUCCAAUUCCAGGUUGUUUCCAGUCUAUUUUUCUUUUUUUUUUUUUUUCCUGUUGCUUUCUUUGAUGCAGAAGACCAAUGAAAGCAUUUUCUAAUUAUGAACUGAAUCUACUUUGGGUGGAACAACAGAUCAGCCCUUGAGAUGUGACUUUUAUUGCACAAAGACUAAUGUAUGUGAAUUAGAGACAGAGGGAAAGAAAGAGAGGUUAGGAAAAGAAGAGGAGAAGAAAGAUCAGAUGAAGAAACUGCUCCUGUCCUUUAGAAGUACCUGAUUAAAAAGUAUGGAGUAAUUGAUUAAAAAAAAAAAAAACCAAAAAAAUCACUAAAAAAUGGAAUUAUACACAGCUUCUUAAAUCCAAAUUUAAUUUUUUACUUUUAAAUAGAUUUAUCUGUAGGAAGCCCUAUCUAAAUUACUAAAUGACUUGUAAGUGUUAAUUCUGACUGUUUCUUGUAAAUAAAGAUAUUAAAAAGUGAAAUGUUUGGUUAUUUACCACUGGUGUAGGAACCUUAGACCGAAAGCCCUUAGACCAGUGUUUCUCUAUGAAUGCUCAGCUGAUGGCAAAUGGCAGAAUUAUGUGAGGUUCUCUCUCUCUCUUUUUUUUUUUAGGAUCUUUUUUCUAUUAAAGAAUAUAUAUCAACAUAAACAUUAAAAUAUUGUGGAAAGUUAAGCUCUCCCUUAAUCUACCUUCCAGAGAUUUUAUUUUUGUCUGAGAGAUGUUGUGUAGUAAAUAAUUUAACCUUGAUAAAAGAGAGGUCAAGUCUGCCCUGUAAUUCUGGGAGGUAAUCUCUAAAUCCUUGAAAUGUCAUGUUUAAUGGGAGUAUUUUUAUUUGCCUGAGGCCCUUGGGCGAUCCAGAUAGUAACAAUGUAAUUUGGGGCAGUGAUUUGCAUAUGUAGGUAUCAGAUCCCCUGAGGAGCUGGAAACAGACAUCUACCAGUUGGACAGUCAGUCAGUUAUGCUUAUGUGGUGCAGCUUUAGUAGGGAUUUUGGAUACUAAGGCUCAGAGAACUUCCCUAGUUGGCAAGACUCCAGCAUGUCGUUCCACACUGAUAUUCUGGAAGUAACACUGUCCAUUACUUUAUGGGAGAGGACAACAGAGCUUUAAAUUUAGUGCUUUUUGUAGACUCUGCCACAGGCACUCCUUCCCUUGGCCAGUUUUAAUACAAUAGCUCUCAAUGAGUUCUGUGAGUCCUGCUGGUGAAAUAUUGAAACCAAGGGUAGUUUUAGGAACCCUUGAACUUGAAUUUAAUAUCAUCAGUGAGUUGGUAUUAUGCAUUCCUAACUGUAUAGUUGGCAAAUUCUUAGAUGGCUAUAAAUAAAAAAGGAAAUAAUAGAAAUUUAUUAUGAAAAUUUUCUAAAUCUGAUAUAUUAUAUAGAUUGUAAAAAAAACCCAACCCUGAUAUGCCAUCAAAGAAUGUUGAAACCUCUAAUUUUCUCCGCCUCAUUUCAUUUCUUCUCUCUUGUUUUUUGUGUUUAUAAUUUCAGUUCAGUGUAAUUAUUUGCAUAAAUAGCAAUAUAUGGUCUCUUUCAUGAGUUUAAGCUUUAUAUAAAACAUAUCAUCUCAUAUUAUUUUGAAAUCUGUUUUUUUUGUCUUCAGAAUUCUACUUCUGAGAAUUCUAUAAUUUAUUGUAAGCAGUCUCUUUAUUUCCCCAAAACCAAGUUGGCAUUUCCCUCUUCCUUUUUUCUUUACCAGGUCAUAGACAAGAAAUAAAUACCAAAUGUUUUAUAUUAAUUAUUUGAAUUUAAUGAUACAAGACCAUUCUGAAUUCAACAAAAAUUGUUGUUUUUUUUUGUAAGUACAGUCCUAAUAAACUCAGAUAUUAAAAGAGAUAUUAGAAAUACAAAAAGCAUCUUAAUGGUAAAAUCAUAAAAAUCACCCUUACUCCUCAUAAAGAAAAUUAUGCAAAUCCUUAUUGUUACAAAGUAAGUGUUUGCACCAGUUGUUAUGAAAUUCAGUAGAUUUGGUUUCCAUUAUUAAAGAAACUGAUUUUAUUGUAAAAUAUUGGUUUGCACUGGACUAAAUCCUAUAUUUAAGGCAAUAUCCUCAUGUUCUAAAAGUAUGCAAUAAAGGGAACCUCUUGGUUUCAAACUUAUACCAAGAGAUUCUGUUAAGUAACAAGUAAAAUCCAAUGGUACUAAGAAACUCUACCAUAUUUUAUAAAAUGCGAGGAC
Long non-coding RNA from Felis catus (domestic cat), 6149 nucleotides. RefSeq lists it as uncharacterized. The transcript has 5 exons. NCBI's taxonomy places the organism in Eukaryota, Metazoa, Chordata, Mammalia, Carnivora, Felidae. The record is from RefSeq and is a predicted model, not a curated record.